RNAcentral lists this small nuclear RNA (165 nucleotides) under Rosa chinensis. RNAcentral describes it as "sRNA RchiOBHm_Chr7g0187921". It matches the Rfam family "U2 spliceosomal RNA". Rfam says of the family: U2 is a small nuclear RNA (snRNA) component of the spliceosome (involved in pre-mRNA splicing). Lineage: Eukaryota; Viridiplantae; Streptophyta; Magnoliopsida; Rosales; Rosaceae. The record is from Rfam by way of RNAcentral.
AUACCUUUCUUGGUUUUUUGGCUAAGAUCAAGUGUAGUAUAUGUUUUUUAAGAUUUUAAAGUGUAGUAUAUGUUGUUAUUUGUUUAAUGAUUUUCACGAUAAUAAAUUAAUUUUUUUAUGGGUGUGUUAUCCUUGUGUUGCACUACAUAGUUUGAUGCACCCUAC